Molecule: ribosomal RNA, 372 nt
Filed under: uncultured organism
Description: partial 16S ribosomal RNA
Rfam family: Bacterial small subunit ribosomal RNA
Source: RNAcentral
GUAGGUGGCAAGCGUUGUCCGGAAUUAUUGGGCGUAAAGCGCGCGCAGGCGGCCCUUUAAGUCUGAUGUGAAAGCCCACGGCUCAACCGUGGAGGGUCAUUGGAAACUGGGGGACUUGAGUACAGAAGAGGAAAGCGGAAUUCCAAGUGUAGCGGUGAAAUGCGUAGAGAUUUGGAGGAACACCAGUGGCGAAGGCGGCUUUCUGGUCUGUAACUGACGCUGAGGCGCGAAAGCGUGGGGAGCAAACAGGGAUUAGAUACCCUGGUAGUCCACGCCGUAAACGAUGAGUGCUAAGUGUUAGGGGGUUUCCCGCCCCUUAGUGCUGCAGCUAACGCAUUAAGCACUCGCCUGGGGAGUACGGCCGCAAGGCUG